RNAcentral lists this ribosomal RNA (467 nucleotides) under uncultured bacterium. RNAcentral describes it as "partial 16S ribosomal RNA". It matches the Rfam family "Bacterial small subunit ribosomal RNA", at positions 29 to 507 of the family's 1533-position model. The record is from RNAcentral.
ACGAACGCUGGCGGCGUGCUUAACACAUGCCAGUCGAACGGAAAGGCCCUGCUUUUGUGGGGUGCUCGAGUGGCGAACGGGUGAGUAACACGUGAGUAACCUGCCCUUGACUUUGGGAUAACUUCAGGAAACUGGGGCUAAUACCGGAUAGGAGCUCCUGCUGCAUGGUGGGGGUUGGAAAGUUUCGGCGGUUGGGGAUGGACUCGCGGCUUAUCAGCUUGUUGGUGGGGUAGUGGCUUACCAAGGCUUUGACGGGUAGCCGGCCUGAGAGGGUGACCGGCCACAUUGGGACUGAGAGACGGCCCAGACUCCUACGGGAGGCAGCAGUGGGGAAUAUUGCACAAUGGGCGGAAGCCUGAUGCAGAAACGCCGCGUGCGGGAUGACGGCCUUCGGGUUGUAAACCGCUUUCGCCUGUGACGAAGCGUGAGUGACGGUAAUGGGUAAAGAAGCACCGGCUAACUACGUG